RNAcentral lists this ribosomal RNA (281 nucleotides) under uncultured bacterium. RNAcentral's name for it is "partial 16S ribosomal RNA". It matches the Rfam family "Bacterial small subunit ribosomal RNA", at positions 505 to 784 of the family's 1533-position model. The record is from RNAcentral.
GUGCCAGCAGCCGCGGUAAUACGGGAGUGGCGAUCGUGAUCCGGAAUUAUUGGGCGUAAAGAGCUCGUAGGCGGUUCAACAAGUCGGUCGUAAAAGUUUAGGGCUCAACCCUAAAAUGUCGAUCGAUACUGUUGUGACUAGGAUACGGUAGAGGUGAAUGGAAUUCCGAGUGUAGCGGUGAAAUGCGUAGAUAUUCGGAGGAACACCAAUUGCGAGGGCAGUUCAAUGGACCGUGAUCGAAGCGGAGGAGAGAAAGCUAGGGGAGCAAACAGGAGUAGAUC